This 100-nucleotide ribosomal RNA is filed under the name Acanthosepion pharaonis. The record is from RNAcentral. Lineage: Eukaryota; Metazoa; Mollusca; Cephalopoda; Sepiida; Sepiidae.
CCAGUAUGUACCAGUUCUCGUACAAUCACCAUAGUUAAGCAAUGUCAAGUCAGCUCAGUACCUAGAUGGGUGACUGCUUGGGAAUACCAGGUGCUGUAAG